GCGUGAGGGAUGAAGGCCUUCGGGUUGUAAACCUCUUUUACCCGGGAAGAAGCGAAAGUGACGGGACCUACAGAAUAAGCACCGGUUAACUAUGUGCCACCCGCCG
This 106-nucleotide ribosomal RNA is filed under the name uncultured Actinomycetes bacterium. Its description in RNAcentral is "uncultured actinobacterium partial 16S ribosomal RNA". It matches the Rfam family "Bacterial small subunit ribosomal RNA", at positions 399 to 517 of the family's 1533-position model. The record is from RNAcentral. Lineage: Bacteria; Bacillati; Actinomycetota; Actinomycetes.